AGUGAAAUAUGGUGCGAGGUUGUGGUUCGUGUUAAUGGUGGUAUGAUUGGUGGGCAUGGGUUUUGGUUUAGGAUAAGAUUGCAUUGUCUUAUUCGAAGACCAAAAGAACAAAAUGGGUAAAUGUAGAAGGUUUCAAGUAACGAUAAAAGAUAAUAAAAACCAUAACCCCAAUUCAAGACAAUCAGAAUCAGAGAGGUCAUCUCCGUCUUUUCUAUCAUGCCUUCUUGUUUGCUACCUAAGUCGUCGGGCCUAUCUUCUCCCAUUCAGAUCUGAAAGUCCGUCGUAUUAAGUGGAUGAAAUCCUGAAUGUUGAUGUCAGCGAUUAUCAUUCGAGUGUGGAGUCUGGUGGGACAAUUAUAGGAAGCAUACCUAGACGUUGGAAAAAAUAUUACUGCUGGACUGUAUGGGAUGACAGAUGCGGACGCAAAACCAAUAUUGUUCUGCCAUAGGCAAUUCAGUUGGUGUGUAUCAAUUGGCAAGGUAUACUUUCCUGUAAUGGAGGUGCUUCUUGUAUGGCCUCGUCAAUUGUAAAUGUUGAUGAGAAGUAGGUAUGAUCAGAAUUAACAUUUGCGUGUGAACUUGUUAUGAAGUCAAAAAUUUCUUUUGAAACGUAAUGCUAUUUAGUAAAAUUUUAAAACAAGACACAAUACUCAGGACCCAUUUAAAUUUCCAUGUUUCAUGUUCAAAAUAAAAUGUUAGCAACAUGUGGACAGACCUGAAACUACUAACAGGCUAUUCAGUUUUCUCAGUCGCUUGUAACUAAUUAAAUGAGCACGUGUUGCCGAACACAAUAGGUGGCAUAAAUUUUGAUAAAAGAAUUAUUGUAAUGGAAUUCCAAAACUUGAAUAUCAUCAGAUGUACCAGCCAGGGAUGGAAUAGAAGUAAAAUAGAGGAAGAUAGAAGAUUUUAGCAUUUGUUUGAAUGAAGGUCAUUACGGAGUUGUGGAGUUAUCGAUGUUAAAGCAAAAUUAUUUCGUUGUUUUUUUAGUAUGGGGAAUUUAAAUUUAAAUUCCUGGUGAUCCAUUCGAGUGACUCCGAAAUUGAUUAUUUAAGUUUGAUAAGUUUGCAUGAAGAUGACCGUCAUAUGGGAAAUAAUUUUUCUAUUUAUAUGGGGGCCAUCAAUAUGGAAACCUCUGAAACUCGAGUAAUCAAUUUCGGAAGCACUUGAACGAAUCGCCAUGGAUUUAAAUUUAGAUUCUCCUUUGUACUUAAAUGCCACGAAAAACUCUUGCAUUAAUUCCAAUAAGUCUACAACUCUGUCUCAACCUUCGUUCAUUCAAACACUAUCAUUUUCUUUCUUGCUCCAUUUUACUUCUAUUUCAUCCCCAAUUGGUACUUCCAACGAUAUCGGAUUCCGUAGGCUUUUCCAAUAUUUCUCUUAAAAAAAAUAGAUGCUACCUCGUGAUGUUGGCAACACGUUGUAUCUCAAUUAUUAACCGCUACGUUGUUAGUACGAUAUCCACAAUGUUAAUUAGUGUUGAUAUGAUUACACGGGGACUGCCUUUCAGAAGAAUAGGAAUGCACAAAAUUGAAACUGAUCUGAUUUAUAAUCCAUUUUUCUGUCGACGAAUUACGUAAUAGAAAUUAAAAAGGGAGUAACUUUUGUUAAUGUACACGUCUUUGUUGCUCACUACAUGAGGAGGAGGCACACAAGUGGGGAUAACAAGAGGCUGCGUGCGCAUGUUAGGUUCAUGGAUUAGACGAGGAAGAAUAGCAAGGUUAUGGCUUUAUGUUCUUUGGUCUUUCGGGUAGCAAUCAUGUUUUUCUCAAGCUUCAGCGAGACAUUAUGCAAUUUCAAGUGACCAAAUUUCACACACGGGAGAGACAUUCUGUGCAACAUGCAAAGCAGAUUUUGUUGGAGAGUGUUUUUCGGACGGGAAGAAAGGCAGUCGUGAUAACAAGGUGACUCGAAUAAAUUUCAAUUUGGUCGUAGAUAAACUUGACAAACAAAUACAAAGACAGACUAUCAGACUCAAACGAUGAGUAACAUCCUGUGAAUAUGGUAUGGUGUUUCCCAACUCCGGUCUAGUUUCAUUCAAGAAAGAGAAAGGAAGGAGCCAGCCAUAAGUUGAAACACACUCUAUUCUUUCCCCCCAAGUUUUGAUCAUCUGACAGUGGAGACGGAUGUCAACGAGAAAGGGGGAUAAAGCCGUGUACACCUGCGAAAAAGGUACCCGACAUUAACGUUUUGUAGAAAUAUGAUGAAUGCUGAAUGUUUGCAUUCCUUUGUAAAGUGGGAAUUUUCAUGGUUUAUACGUACUUUGAGUGUACGAAACAAACUAGAGCUUUCGGUUGUUUAUUUCAAGAACGUCGUUAUCGAAA
Arachis duranensis is the source of this 2320-nucleotide long non-coding RNA. RefSeq lists it as uncharacterized. The transcript has 5 exons. Lineage: Eukaryota; Viridiplantae; Streptophyta; Magnoliopsida; Fabales; Fabaceae. The record is from RefSeq and is a predicted model, not a curated record.